UACGUGCCAGCAGCCGCGGUAAUACGUAGGUCCCGAGCGUUAUCCGGAUUUAUUGGGCGUAAAGCGAGCGCAGGCGGUUAGAUAAGUCUGAAGUUAAAGGCUGUGGCUUAACCAUAGUACGCUUUGGAAACUGUUUAACUUGAGUGCAGAAGGGGAGAGUGGAAUUCCAUGUGUAGCGGUGAAAUGCGUAGAUAUAUGGAAGAACACCAGUGGCGAAAGCGGCUCUCUGGUCUGUAACUGACGCUGAGGUUCGAAAGCGUGGGUAGCAAACAGGAUUAGAUACCCUGG
Molecule: ribosomal RNA, 288 nt
Filed under: Chaetoceros curvisetus
Lineage: Eukaryota; Bacillariophyta; Thalassiosirophyceae; Chaetocerotales; Chaetocerotaceae
Description: partial Bacterial small subunit ribosomal RNA
Rfam family: Bacterial small subunit ribosomal RNA
Source: RNAcentral